RNAcentral lists this microRNA precursor (98 nucleotides) under Otolemur garnettii (small-eared galago). Its description in RNAcentral is "mir-544 microRNA precursor family". It matches the Rfam family "mir-544 microRNA precursor family". The record is from Rfam by way of RNAcentral. Lineage: Eukaryota; Metazoa; Chordata; Mammalia; Primates; Galagidae.
AUCACCUGGGGAUCUUGUCACAAUGCGGAUUUUGAUCUAGUAGAAUGAAGGCAUUACCUGAAAUUCUGCAUUUAUAAUAAGUUUCCAGGUGAUGCUAA